RNAcentral lists this long non-coding RNA (374 nucleotides) under Nicotiana benthamiana. RNAcentral describes it as "long non-coding RNA (NBEN_LNC034891)". The record is from RNAcentral. Lineage: Eukaryota; Viridiplantae; Streptophyta; Magnoliopsida; Solanales; Solanaceae.
CCUAAUGGCAGCAACAAUCUCAGCUAGAUCCUUGUGCCUCACCACUAUACUCCUAUUAUCAGAUACCAUCUCCUCCACCACUUUCCCAUUAUUCCCAUUCCCCCAACUCAUGGAAGACGACCCUCCAUCCUCCGACGAUACAUUAUCCGAUUUCCUCCCUGAAUAAUUCUUCAUCCUCAAAUUGACAUCAUCAAUCUUAGAAGCUGGAAGACGACCCUCCAUCCUCAGACGAUACCUUAUCUGAUUUCCUCCCUGAAUAACUCUUCAUCCUCAAAUUCACAUCAUCAAUCUUAGAAGCUUCCUCACUCUUCAUUGACCCAAAAUUAGACCGAGUUGGCCCAAACCCAGAUCUUAUCUCAUCCUUUUCUUCCUCU